This 66-nucleotide transfer RNA is filed under the name Echinosorex gymnura. Its description in RNAcentral is "tRNA-Pro". Lineage: Eukaryota; Metazoa; Chordata; Mammalia; Eulipotyphla; Erinaceidae. The record is from RNAcentral.
CAAGGAGUAGUUAAAUAAGAAUACCAGCUUUGGGUGUUGGAGGUAAGGCUAUAGCUUUCUCCUUGA